UACGAAGGGGGCUAGCGUUGCUCGGAAUCACUGGGCGUAAAGGGCGCGUAGGCGGCUUUGUGCGUCACCCGUGAAAGCCCCCGGCUCAACCGGGGAGGGUCGGGUGAAACGGCGGAGCUGGAGGCAGCGAGAGGCUGGUGGAAUUCUCGGUGUAGAGGUGAAAUUCGUAGAUAUCGAGAGGAACACCGGUGGCGAAGGCGGCCAACUGGACGAAUACUGACGCUGAGACUCGAAAGCGUGGGGAGCAAACAGG
This 253-nucleotide ribosomal RNA is filed under the name uncultured bacterium. RNAcentral describes it as "partial 16S ribosomal RNA". It matches the Rfam family "Bacterial small subunit ribosomal RNA", at positions 524 to 776 of the family's 1533-position model. The record is from RNAcentral.